Molecule: microRNA precursor, 95 nt
Filed under: Setaria italica (foxtail millet)
Lineage: Eukaryota; Viridiplantae; Streptophyta; Magnoliopsida; Poales; Poaceae
Also listed under: 1 other name
Description: MIR2275 microRNA precursor family
Rfam family: MIR2275 microRNA precursor family
Source: Rfam by way of RNAcentral
CAUUUCAGGUGAGGAUUAGAGGGAACUGAACCAAAUCCUUGGGAACAAAACAAGUGAUGAGGGUUCAGUUUCCUCUAAUAUCUCACCUUGAUUGG